UCCUCCUGUACUUUUAAAGGAUCUUA
Molecule: transfer RNA, 26 nt
Filed under: Sphenomorphus melanopogon
Lineage: Eukaryota; Metazoa; Chordata; Lepidosauria; Squamata; Scincidae
Description: partial tRNA-Leu
Source: RNAcentral